RNAcentral lists this transfer RNA (52 nucleotides) under Craugastor talamancae (Almirante robber frog). RNAcentral's name for it is "partial tRNA-Gln". Lineage: Eukaryota; Metazoa; Chordata; Amphibia; Anura; Craugastoridae. The record is from RNAcentral.
UUAGAAGAGCAGGAAUUGAACCUGCGCCUGAGAAAUCAAAAUUCUCCGUAAU